AUACCAGCUGGCUGCAACUGUUUAUUAAAAACACAGCACUGUGCAAACACGAAAGUGGACGUAUACGGUGUGACGCCUGCCCGGUGCCGGAAGGUUAAUUGAUGGGGUUAUCCGUAAGGAGAAGCUCUUGAUCGAAGCCCCGGUAAACGGCGGCCGUAACUAUAACGGUCCUAAGGUAGCGAAAUUCCUUGUCGGGUAAGUUCCGACCUGCACGAAUGGCGUAAUGAUGGCCAGGCUGUCUCCACCCGAGACUCAGUGAAAUUGAACUCGCUGUGAAGAUGCAGUGUACCCGCGGCAAGACGGAAAGACCCCGUGAACCUUUACUAUAGCUUGACACUGAACACUGGUCCUUGAUGUGUAGGAUAGGUGGGAGGCUUUGAAGUGUGGACGCCAGUCUGCAUGGAGCCAUCCUUGAAAUACCACCCUUUAAUGGCUGGUGUUCUAACGUGGGCCCCUAAUCGGGGUUGCGGACAGUGUCUGGUGGGUAGUUUGACUGGGGCGGUCUCCUCCUAAAGAGUAACGGAGGAGCACGAAGGUCAGCUAAUCCUGGUCGGACAUCAGGAGGUUAGUGCAAUGGCAUAAGCUGGCUUGACUGCGAGCGUGACGGCGCGAGCAGGUGCGAAAGCAGGUCAUAGUGAUCCGGUGGUUCUGAAUGGAAGGGCCAUCGCUCAACGGAUAAAAGGUACUCCGGGGAUAACAGGCUGAUACCGCCCAAGAGUUCAUAUCGACGGCGGUGUUUGGCACCUCGAUGUCGGCUCAUCACAUCCUGGGGCUGAAGUAGGUCCCAAGGGUAUGGCUGUUCGCCAUUUAAAGUGGUACGCGAGCUGGGUUUAGAACGUCGUGAGACAGUUCGGUCCCUAUCUGCCGUGGGCGCUGGAGAAUUGAGGGGGGCUGCUCCUAGUACGAGAGGACCGGAGUGGACGCAUCACUGGUGUUCGGGUUGUCAUGCCAAUGGCAUUGCCCGGUAGCUAAAUGCGGAAGAGAUAAGUGCUGAAAGCAUCUAAGCACGAAACUUGCC
Molecule: ribosomal RNA, 1018 nt
Filed under: Klebsiella michiganensis
Lineage: Bacteria; Pseudomonadati; Pseudomonadota; Gammaproteobacteria; Enterobacterales; Enterobacteriaceae
Description: partial 23S ribosomal RNA
Rfam family: Bacterial large subunit ribosomal RNA
Source: RNAcentral